UGAAAUUGUGUCCUGCGGUGUCGGUCUACCGAAUGCGGUACGACAGGCACGUCUGCGGGGCUUCUCGCCGGUGCGUCCACCGCCGGCGUGUGUCGGUCGGCCUCACGGUCGGCCGCGCACCGAGGCGGGCCGUCGCGGCUGUUUACUUUGAACAAAUUAGAGUGCUCAAAGCGGGCUAACACUUGCCUGAAUAUUGUACGCAUGGAAUAAUAGAAUAGGACCUCGGUUCUGUUUUGUUGGCUUUCUGAUACCAGAGGUAAUGAUUAAUAGGGACGACUGGGGGCAUUCGUAUUGAGACGUUAGAGGUGAAAUUCUUGGAUCGUCGCAAGACGGACUAAAGCGAAAGCAUUUGCCAAAGGUGUUUUCAUUAAUCAAGAACGAAAGUUAGAGGUUCGAAGGCGAUUAGAUACCGCUGUAGUUCUAACCAUAAAUGAUGCCAGCCAGCGAUCCGCCGAAGUUUCAUAAUUUUAACCCGGUGGGCAGCUCCCGGGAAACCAAAGCUUUCGGGCUCCGGGGGGAGUAUGGUUGCAAAGCUAAACU
This 540-nucleotide ribosomal RNA is filed under the name Nothopsyche ruficollis. Its description in RNAcentral is "SSU rRNA". It matches the Rfam family "Eukaryotic small subunit ribosomal RNA", at positions 636 to 1144 of the family's 1831-position model. Lineage: Eukaryota; Metazoa; Arthropoda; Insecta; Trichoptera; Limnephilidae. The record is from RNAcentral.